RNAcentral lists this ribosomal RNA (468 nucleotides) under uncultured bacterium. Its description in RNAcentral is "partial 16S ribosomal RNA". It matches the Rfam family "Bacterial small subunit ribosomal RNA", at positions 28 to 507 of the family's 1533-position model. The record is from RNAcentral.
GACGAACGCUGGCGGCGUGCUUAACACAUGCAAGUCGAACGGAAAGGCCCUGCUUUUGUGGGGUGCUCGAGUGGCGAACGGGUGAGUAACACGUGAGUAACCUGCCCUUGACUUUGGGAUAACUUCAAGAAACUGGGGCUAAUACCGGAUAGGAGCUCCUGCUGCAUGGUGGGGGUUGGAAAGUUUCGGCGGUUGGGGACGGACUCGCGGCUUAUCAGCUUGUUGGUGGGGUAGUGGCUUACCAAGGCUUUGACGGGUAGCCGGCCUGAGAGGGUGACCGGCCACAUUGGGACUGAGAUACGGCCCAGACUCCUACGGGAGGCAGCAGUGGGGAAUAUUGCACAAUGGGCGGAAGCCUGAUGCAGCAACGCCGCGUGCGGGAUGACGGCCUUCGGGUUGUAAACCGCUUUCGCCUGUGACGAAGCGUGAGUGACGGUAAUGGGUAAAGAAGCACCGGCUAACUACGUG